AGCGAACGCUGGCGGCAGGCCUAACACAUGCAAGUCGAGCGCCGUAGCAAUACGGAGCGGCAGACGGGAGAGUAACACGUGGGAACGUGCCCUUUGGUUCGGAACAACCCAGGGAAACUUGGGCUAAUACCGGAUAAGCCCUUACGGGGAAAGAUUUAUCGCCGAAGGAUCGGCCCGCGUCUGAUUAGCUAGUUGGUGGGGUAAUGGCCCACCAAGGCGACGAUCAGUAGCUGGUCUGAGAGGAUGAUCAGCCUACCUGGGACUGAGACACGGCCCGGACUCCUCCGGGAGGGAGCAGUGGGGAAUAUUGGACAAUGGGCGCAAGCCUGAUCCAGCCAUGCCGCAUGGGUGAUGAAGGCCCUAGGGUUGUAAAGCCCUUUCGGCGGGGAAGAUAAUGACGGUACCCGCAGAAGAAGCCCCGGCUAACUUCGUGCCAGCCGCCGCAGUAA
RNAcentral lists this ribosomal RNA (449 nucleotides) under uncultured bacterium. RNAcentral describes it as "partial 16S ribosomal RNA". It matches the Rfam family "Bacterial small subunit ribosomal RNA", at positions 29 to 523 of the family's 1533-position model. The record is from RNAcentral.